GAUAACAGGCUGAUCUUUCCGAGAGCUCACACCAACAGAAAAGUUUGGCACUAUAAUGAUGGCUCUUCGCCACCUAGAGCUUUAGUAUGUUCCAAGAGUUGGGCUAUUCGCCUAUUAAAGCGACAGGAGCUGUGAAGAGAGGUGACC
RNAcentral lists this non-coding RNA (147 nucleotides) under Daucus carota subsp. sativus. RNAcentral's name for it is "Bacterial large subunit ribosomal RNA". It matches the Rfam family "Bacterial large subunit ribosomal RNA", at positions 2473 to 2630 of the family's 2925-position model. The record is from Rfam by way of RNAcentral. Lineage: Eukaryota; Viridiplantae; Streptophyta; Magnoliopsida; Apiales; Apiaceae.